Molecule: non-coding RNA, 2101 nt
Organism: Physcomitrium patens
Lineage: Eukaryota; Viridiplantae; Streptophyta; Bryopsida; Funariales; Funariaceae
Source: RefSeq, a predicted model, not a curated record
UUGUAGAUCGAAAUAACGCAAUCCAUCGAUGAGCCCGCGCGGUGUCGGUCCGCGAGGCGUGAACACCCUCUCACUCUCUCUCACUCUUGGUCGCCAGAGCAGGGAGGAGAGAGAAGAGUAGCGCCGGCUCAGAAUAGACAAAAAACACAGUGCUCGAUUGUCAAUGGGUGUGGGGGUACUUGCGAAUCACCGCCCCUCAUCGCGUUUCGCAUGGACCUCGCACCCCACGGCCCGAGCCCAAAGCUAAAUUUAGCGUCGCGGACAUGGCGACGAGAGUGUGAUUCAUGUUGAUAUCACUACGCAUGUCUUUGCCUUCGUGAUGCGUGAUCAGCGAGAGUCUAGUAGGUAGUGUUUUUUAUUUUUAUUAUUGAGACUGGCUGUCUGUCUGUCAUGGGACCAUGCAUCGCGCAAGCUCAUGCUACCAGACAUCGCGCGAGGAGGGUGCUUGGUAUGUUGUUGCAACGAUGGGUUCGGUGCUGGGGAUCUAGCUCAUCCCGGUGUCAAUCAGUUACUGUGGUUCAACCGCAUAGCCCCCCGUCGAGAUUAGUUUUUUUUUGAUUUUGGUUUCGGAACUGGACCAGGCAUGCAGUUGUGGACACCGAUUCCUUGAUUAUAUUUGGGGUGAAAAUCUGUUCUGAAGUUUUGGGUUCUGGUCUUAAUUGAUGCAACUUUCGUGGCUGGUUCUCCUGGUGGCUGAUGAUUCAUCCCCUUCACUUAGAGUUGUCUCAUGUGACUGAAUCCUCUCAGGUUGGUGUCCCCGUCCGGAGAUCGAGUUGCUUGGCGCAGGGGCGGCGUGGUGAACUUGUACUGGCGUUCGACUACUCUGUGGGGACUUAAACGGAUACUGUCACCGAUGAUGGCAACCUUGACUGGCUCCUGCGUCUUCCGAUUGUGCUCUUGGUAGUUGGGCAGCUUCAGAGGCAACGGUUCUGCUGAGAAAUCCGGUGGGCUUAGCGUCUCUUGGAGGCACUCGUUGCUAGAGUUGCUUUCAGUUCUUCGCUUUUGUUGACUUGUAGGAAGCAUCCUUUGGCUUCAACCCUCGGCUGAUGGCGAUGAGUAAAUCGUAGACUGUUCUUCAACCCAAAACUCACUCCACUGCACCUACCUUUGUUACCGGUAUCUGAAGCGACCUUUCUAGUUCUUAAGUGUAUCGAAACUGAAUCUGAUAAGGAGAGGAUUUUGUUGUCGAGGGUAAGGGAACUCCGUCAGAGAGGUUUUUUAGAAUGUGAGCCGACCAAUUGGUUACUCUUUGGAAAUGGACUGAACGUGAAUCGAUUUGACUCGUGCAAGGCAGGCCAUUAUUCAUCAUUGAGCUAGAUUCAGGUGCUGCAGCCUCCGGUUUUAUAAAAUCACGUCUCAAGAGGAGAAGGUGGCGCAGUCAACGAUGAACACACCAAGAGUGAAGAUGAACCAGAGGAGCCAGAAGUGCUAUCCUCUCGAGUCUGUGCCAGAACACUGUGUGCGUGCAUUCUCUGAAACAUCGCGCUCAAAACCUCAAUAUGCAAAGAAACGGAGGAUCAAGGACUUUCUGGUACGAAUUAGGGACAAAUACGUGAACAUGAUGAAUAACAUAGCUUGCAGCGCAGAUUUGACAGGUUUCUCAACCGGGUAUGCGUGUUCAACGGGUCCAAUGGACCUCCUCUCUGUCUCAGUCAUGACUAACAUGAAGAACAAGGAGAAAGAGGAAAUGUUAGAAGCUAUUAGGUUUCUGGAGGCUACAUCUCGAGGAUAAGACCAGAGAAUCUCAAACGCAGACUGUUGGCUGCAAUCUUGUUACUACGAUUCAUCAAUAGUUGUGCUCAUGGAAGCUUCUUAGCUGAGUCAAGCACCAGAUACACUGUACAAGUCGCUCGGAUUUGGCGUGAAAGUCGCACAAAUCUAUGUAUAGGUACUAUUGGACUAAGCGAUCAUUUUGUAGAAUGAUUUAUUAUUUAUUCAGGUUUAAGGAGAACUUGAUUGCUUUGAUCGCUGUAUUCGCGUCUUGUGGAGAAUCUGAAUUGAACAGGGGAACGGAAAGUUUCCUGUAUCAAAGCAGAAUGUGUAAAUGAGCGUGGCUGGAAAAGAGAACAAGAAAAAAAUGGCGCACUUACAAAUUUUCUUU